RNAcentral lists this ribosomal RNA (492 nucleotides) under uncultured bacterium. Its description in RNAcentral is "partial 16S ribosomal RNA". It matches the Rfam family "Bacterial small subunit ribosomal RNA", at positions 29 to 507 of the family's 1533-position model. The record is from RNAcentral.
AUUGAACGCUGGCGGCAUGCUUUACACAUGCAAGUCGAACGGUAACAGGCCUUCGGGUGCUGACGAGUGGCGAACGGGUGAGUAAUGCAUCGGAACGUACCCAGAGGUGGGGGAUAACGCAGCGAAAGCUGUGCUAAUACCGCAUGUGAUCUGAGGAUGAAAGCGGGGGACCGAGCAGCAAUGUUUGGCCUCGCGCCUUUAGAGCGGCCGAUGUCGGAUUAGCUAGUUGGUGGGGUAAAGGCCUACCAAGGCGACGAUCCGUAGCUGGUCUGAGAGGACGACCAGCCACACUGGGACUGAGACACGGCCCAGACUCCUACGGGAGGCAGCAGUGGGGAAUUUUGGACAAUGGGCGCAAGCCUGAUCCAGCAAUGCCGCGUGCGGGAAGAAGGCCUUCGGGUUGUAAACCGCUUUUGGCAGGAACGAAACGGUGUCCGCUAAUACCGGGCGCUAAUGACGGUACCUGCAGAAUAAGCACCGGCUAACUACGUG